UACGUAGGGUGCAAGCGUUGUCCGGAAUUAUUGGGCGUAAAGAGCUCGUAGGCGGUCUGUCGCGUCGGCUGUGAAAACCCGGAGCUCAACUCCGGGCCUGCAGUCGAUACGGGCAGACUGGAGUUCGGCAGGGGAGACUGGAAUUCCUGGUGUAGCGGUGAAAUGCGCAGAUAUCAGGAGGAACACCAGUGGCGAAGGCGGCUUUCUGGUCUGUAACUGACGCUGAGGCGCGAAAGCGUGGGGAGCAAACAGG
RNAcentral lists this ribosomal RNA (253 nucleotides) under uncultured bacterium. RNAcentral's name for it is "partial 16S ribosomal RNA". It matches the Rfam family "Bacterial small subunit ribosomal RNA", at positions 524 to 776 of the family's 1533-position model. The record is from RNAcentral.